AACGAACGCUGGCGGCAGGCCUAACACAUGCAAGUCGAGCGAGGUAGCAAUACCUAGCGGCGGACGGGUUAGUAACGCGUGGGAACGUGCCCAAAGGUACGGAAUAGCCUCGGGAAACUGAGAGUAAUACCGUAUGUGCCCUUCGGGGGAAAGGAUUUAUCGCCUUGGUAUCGGCCCGCGUUGGAUUAGGUAGUUGGUGGGGUAAGUGGCCUACCAAGCCGACGAUCCAUAGCUGGUUUGAGAGGAUGAUCAGCAACACUGGGACUGAGACACGGCCCACGACUCCUACGGGAGGCAGCAGUGGGGAAUCUUAGACAAUGGGGGAAACCCGUGAUCUAGCCAUGCCGCGUGAGCGAUGAAGGCCUUAGGGUUGUAAAGCUCUUUCAGCUGGGAAGAUAAUGACGGUACCAGCAGAAG
Molecule: ribosomal RNA, 417 nt
Filed under: uncultured bacterium
Lineage: Bacteria
Description: bacterial SSU rRNA
Rfam family: Bacterial small subunit ribosomal RNA
Source: RNAcentral